UGGGGAAUAUUGGACAAUGGGCGCAAGCCUGAUCCAGCCAUGCCGCGUGAGUGACGAAGGUCUUCGGAUUGUAAAGCUCUUUUUAGCAGGGAAGAUAAUGACGGUACCUGCAGAAUAAGCCCCGGCUAACUUCGUGCCAGCAGCCGCGGUAAUACGAAGGGGGCUAGCGUUGUUCGGAAUUACUGGGCGUAAAGCGCACGUAGGCGGAUUGAUAAGUUAGAGGUGAAAUCCCGGGGCUCAACCUCGGAACUGCCAAGUGAUACUGAUGUGCUAGAGUGCAGAAAGGGCAACUGGAAUUCUUGGUGUAGCGGUGAAAUGCGUAGAUAUCAAGAGGAACACCUGAGGUGAAGACGGGUUGCUGGGCUGACACUGACGCUGAGGCGCGAAAGCCAGGGGAGCAAACGGGAUUAGAUACCCGAGUAGUCCCUGAGCGGGCUGGCAAGGCG
Molecule: ribosomal RNA, 446 nt
Filed under: uncultured bacterium
Lineage: Bacteria
Description: bacterial SSU rRNA
Rfam family: Bacterial small subunit ribosomal RNA
Source: RNAcentral